Non-coding RNA from Podarcis lilfordi (Lilford's wall lizard), 76 nucleotides. The record is from the annotation of a GenBank genome assembly. Lineage: Eukaryota; Metazoa; Chordata; Lepidosauria; Squamata; Lacertidae.
GGGAACAACUGUAGCUGAGUGGCAUGGUAUCUCCUCUGCAUGUAGAACAUCCCAGGUUCAAAUCCUGGCAUCUCCA